UGUGACUCAUUGUGUCUGUGUGGAGGCGUCGGCAGGGCCUAGGUCCUUUUGCAGCGCCCUUCAGCCCAUCUGAGCCCCAGAGUCAGCUCCCCUUUCUCUCCCAGCGCCCCAAAGCCGCUCCCGGGGCUCACGGUGAAAAAGAAGCUUCACGAAGAUUUGUCAAGUCAGAGGGAAGAAACACAUUGUCAGCUGGCUCUGUUUGGAAAUUCGCCCACCAACCAUGAAACAUAUCAGAAACAUCUCCUAGGACAGAAAGGAAAGCACAGACCCUGUUUGGAUCAAGUUCUUUAACCCUGAAUGAUGACUGCCGAAUCAAGGGAAGCGACUGGUCUGUCCCCCCAGGCUGCCCAGGAGAAGGAUGGUAUCGUAAUAGUGAAGGUGGAAGAGGAAGAUGAGGAAGACCACAUGUGGGGGCAGGAUUCCAGCCUGCAGGAGACUCCUCCUCCUGACCCAGAGAUCUUCCGUCAACGUUUCAGGCACUUCUGUUAUCAGAACACUUUUGGGCCUCGAGAGGCUCUGAGUCGACUUAAGGAACUUUGUCAUCAGUGGCUACGACCAGAGAUAAACACCAAGGAGCAGAUCCUGGAGCUGCUGGUGCUGGAGCAAUUCCUUUCCAUCCUGCCCAAGGAGCUUCAAGUCUGGCUGCAGGAAUACCGUCCUGAUAGCGGGGAGGAGGCUGUGACCCUUCUGGAAGAUUUGGAGCUUGAUUUAUCAGGACAGCAGGUCCCAGGUCAAGUUCAUGGACCUGAGAUGCUUGCAAGGGGGAUGGUGCCUCUGGAUCCCAUACAGGAGUCCUCAAGCUUUGACCAUCAUGAGACCACCCAGUCCCAUUUCAAGCAUUCAUCUCGGAAACCCCGCCUCUUACAGUCACGAGCUCUUCCUACCACCCAUGUUCCUGCCUCUCAUCACGAGGAGAGUCCCAGAGACCAGGCAACGGCAUCUGCACUGUUCACGGCAGAUUCCCAGGCGAUGGUGAAGAUCGAGGACAUGGCCGUGUCCCUUAUCCUGGAGGAAUGGGGAUGUCAGAACCUGGCUCGGAGGAAUCUCAGUAGGGACAGCAGGCAGGAGACUUAUGGGAACGUGUUUUCCCAGGGUUGUGAAAGCAGGAAUGAGAAUGAGCAGUCAACCUCGAAGGCUGAAAUCGCAGAAGACUCAGCAUCACGUGGGGAGACAAGAGGAAGAACCCAGAAAGAUUUCGGAGAAAAACGUGAACAGCAGAGCAGAACAGCAGAAAGGCAGCAGAGGAAUCUUGAGGAGAAAACUGGAAAAGAAAAGAAAGAUUCGGGGCUGGCUGUGGUCAAGGAAAAAAAAACGAACACAGGAGAAAGAGGUCCCAGGGAGAAGGGUAAAGGAUUGGGAAGAAGCUUCAGUCUGAGUUCAAACUUUAACACCCCUGAAGAAGUUCCAACAGGAACAAAGUCUCAUAGAUGUGAUGAAUGUGGUAAAUGCUUCACAAGGAGUUCAAGCCUUAUUCGCCAUAAAAUCAUCCACACUGGAGAAAAGCCCUAUGAAUGUAGUGAGUGUGGGAAAGCCUUCAGUCUGAACUCAAACCUUGUCUUGCAUCAGAGAAUCCACACAGGAGAGAAACCUCAUGAAUGUAAUGAGUGUGGCAAAGCCUUCAGUCAUAGUUCAAAUCUCAUUCUGCAUCAGCGAAUCCACUCUGGAGAGAAACCUUAUGAAUGUAAUGAGUGUGGGAAAGCCUUCAGCCAGAGCUCAGACCUUACAAAACAUCAGAGAAUCCACACUGGGGAGAAACCCUAUGAAUGUAGUGAAUGUGGAAAAGCUUUCAACCGAAACUCAUACCUUAUUUUGCAUCGGCGAAUUCACACCAGAGAAAAGCCCUAUAAGUGCACUAAGUGUGGCAAGGCCUUUACUCGGAGCUCUACCCUCACUCUGCAUCACAGAAUCCACACCAGAGAGCGAGCCUCUGAGUACAGCCCAGCCUCCCUUGAUGCAUUUGGAGCAUUCUUGAAAAGUUGUGUGUAAAGUGAGAAUUUGUCGACAAGCCAUUUCCCCCUUUUGUUUUUAAAAUUAUUUCAGCGAUGUGUGCUUAUGGAAGGGAAAAGACAUCCUCAACAGAUUUUUUUUUUUAAAUCACAUUUAAGGAUCCUUAUAGUUAGAUUAGGAGUGUUCUGCCUUUGCAUAGUCUGUAGGCAUAUUCUUCCACACAGCCCCUAUAGGGAAAAGCUAAUUGUGUGGAUAAGCCACAUAUUUCCAUAUGAGAUAAAAGCACACACAAUAAAAUGUCGAGCUUUUAAGUAUGGAGGAUACCUUUGAGGCGCUAUUUUACUCUCAACAACCACAAUAUACAAUUGAAAAAUUGAGAUUGGCUGUGUAAAAGUGAUAAUGUGGUUAAAUGCUGCUUGCUGCAAAUAAGCCCUGGUUGGCCAACAUCUCACUAUACCUUCUUUCUCAAAAAAUAGACAAAACAAAAACUACAUUGGGACAUGCUGCUCAAACUAGUUAUAUAUACAUAUAAUAAGUUAUAUAUAUGAUCACUGGUAGCCUACCAAAGCUAUAGAAAUCUAGGACUGUGCCGAUGAGUAUCAAACCAAAGAUUUCUAUCUCUUCCUGAGAGAGGGUAUGUGCACCAGUCCGUAGUUCCAAAGGACUGCCACAAAUGUAGAUGGUUUAUCCUCAUCACUGAGAUAAAUUCUACUGAUAUGGCAACAAUGAUUCAAAACAUUUCUCUCCCUUCUGGAAGAAAUCCCUAAAGCACUAGUCGUACUCUGAAAUGCCAUUUCUCCACAUUAGCACUUGAUUAUAUGCUGACUUUUAAUCCUUCAUUGUUUCAUGCACAAAAGUUUUAAUUUCCCCUCAAAAGAGAUGCUUUGAUAGACAAGGGAUAUACUUAUAUCCCUGACAGCACUGGACACAAUGCGCAAUGCAUAACAGGCGCUCAUUGUGCCUGACUUCUAACAGGACUUUUGCACUUCUGAAGCCCUGUGAAUCAUGAGUACCUGAAAUAUCAUAACCUGACCCAGCCUUUGAAGAGGACAUUCAGAGCCAGAGGCAUGCUAAAGCUCCAAGGUCUUAUGCUAUUCUUGUCCUACUUAUAAAAGAAAGGCACCAACUGCCUGCACAGACUCUUUCUAAGCAUGGAUCAGUGAGUACCAUGGAAUAUCAGAAAUGACUCCAUUGUCAUCAUCUUAAGAAAAAUACAAAAACAUACUAAGGCCAUUUUUUGACAUCUUUCUGUAACAAAGAUGUUGGCCAGAAUUUUCUUCAGUCAGCUACUGAACAAUGUGAUGAUUUGGACAAUUUCUGAAUCAUUUGUAACUUGAAAUGAUACAGUUCAGACAAUGUAGUUUUUGUUGCUUUUCAGAAAAAGGAAAAUGUAGGGAGCAUUUUUUCCCCCACACUUUCCAAAAAACUUCACAAAAGCAUUUAACAUUACCAGGCCAUUACUAAAUGGUGUUAGUUGCUCUGAGAAGUUGACUGACUUGCUAAGAUAGGGUUGGUUGUAUCAAAGUCAUACUGCACAAUGUCUUCUCAUCACUGAAGACAGAUGAGGUUACAAAACUUUGAUCUUGUUCAUCAUCUGUGGAAGAGGAUGCAUUUGGCUGUCUGGAAGCUAAGACAGAAUUUUCAGAUACACAUACAAGAGACCCACGUAUUGGGAGGCUACAUAAGUAGUCAUGAGGGAUUCAGGUAGAGAUGACUCAGCUCAUGAGAGCAUGCAAAUUAUUGUGGACAGCUCUGCAGGAACUUUGACCAUAGAACAUAUAUGAAGACUAUCCCCGUAACAGAAGAACCCCACAUAGAGACUGAAAUUUUCCAUCAAGAAACAGAACUAAAACUCAUUCUGUUUGCUAACCAACAACUCAAGCCCAUGAGACAGCAUGUCUUUAUGGGGAGCCAGUGAGGUGGGGGUAGCCGUGACCUCAGUUCCAGACCAAACUAAAACUACACAGCAGUCAUUCUUUGGCUUCUAUUACUUGGACCAACCACAGCUUCCCUAUACUCCCUAAGCAGUUUCAUCUGUUUCCUGGGGAAACUUCAUAGAAGUCAGCUAGUGACCAGAAUAUUUCUAUCCAUUUCAUAUAAGAAAAAAAAGAUAAUCCAGAAGAGUAUAUGUAAGUUAUGUGUUAAAGUACAGUAAAGUUAAAUGCUUUUAGGAUUUUCAUCAGUGAGCCACAUGGUGGUUGCAUGGAAAACUGUUGGUGCUUUUGAGAAAAGACUUGCUGCUGAGAAGCAAUUGAAAGUGGUGAGAUGCUUUAACUCCAGGCACUGAUCAAAGCACUGACUGCUCUUAAGAGGGGAAGAACUUUGGUUGGUUCCACAUUGGCUUUUUUUUCCCCAGAACUACAUGCUGAUGUAAUUCAGCCAUUUUGUUUAACAAAAGUUAAAUACAACCUGUGCCCCCACAUUUAGUUCCCAUUUUUCUGGGAUAUCAUACUGUGUGGGAUAGCUACUGCAGUUGCUUCAUAUCUUCAGCAGAUGCACUCCUUGAAGCAGCUACUUGAAGAUAUAUUUUCUGGGAAAAAAAAAAACAGGCUACAAAUGUUGAUUUAAACUAUUUACAUUGCUUUUAUCAGCUGCUCAAUGCAAAGUAUAAUUGGGUUAUGGACAAAAAGGCUUACGACAUCUAAUUAGUGCUCAGGAUAGUCAACUCAGUAGCUCCUGACUGGCUAAAGUCUGUUAACAGUUUACUCUAUAGUUAAGCAGUAGCAUGUUAAUCGACCUAAUGGAAAUCUUUGAAGGUCGCUUUAAAAUAAUACCUUAACCUUGCCAUAAAGAGAAGUAAAGUUCUUCAAGCUGUGAGGUAUUUGUUUCUACUCUGGCCUGUCAGGCAAUGUGAAGAGGUAUAUGAGGCUACAUAAGUGCCUCAUAUAAGUGCCUUCUUAACAUGUAAGGCACUUAGUAUUUUAUUAGAGGCAUAAAAGCGAAACUAUGCUGAAUGUGUACAGAGAGGUCAAUAUGUUUGUUGUGUGAGACAAUUCACAUCUUACGUACGUCAGUGAAUUCAUUCUGGAAGGGAAACCUCUUAAAUGUGAUAAUGUGGCAAAGCCUUUAAUCACAUCUCAGCCCUUAGCAUCAGAAAGCUUACACUGUAAAUAAACUUUAUUAAUAUUCUAUGUGAGGAAACCUUUCAUGUGUAGCACUUGUUGCUUUGGACAGAAAAAAAAUUCCAUCAAUAUGUUUCAGUGGUAAUGAAUUUUAGAAACACUGCAAAGGACACUUAACUCCAGAGGAUCCACAGAGGGGAAAAAAAUGGGGGGGGGGGUAGCAAAAUGUACAACUUACAAAAAUUGUCAAUGUUGAGUACUUCUAUAUAUAUUUUGUAUGACCUUAAUGUCAGUGUCUGUGUUUUGUACCUCUAGCCCUGUUGCUAUUCUGUAUACUCUCUGUAGACAGAUAAUGUAUUUUACUUUAAUCUAUUUGACAGAACACAACACUUAAAAGAGCAGAGUUUUAGAGUGAGUAGUAAAAAGUUGAUGUGAUUAUAGACAAAAAAAAUCAGUUCACAGAACUGAGGGGGAAUUUGAGAAACCUCAUAGUUUGGUGCUUAUCAAAUCAGAAGACAAGGUGAGUAGAUGGGUUAAGUAAGAGAGGUUAAUAGGGUGCUAAAAUGGAAUAAUUCCUAUAAACAUCUGCAGCUCCUUGGGAGUUUUCAAACCAGAAAGUUGACUUCCUAGCUGCCAGGUCACCAUUUUAAGCAAAGAGAAUGGGUUGUCUGAGCUCCUCAGGAAGUAACAGCGUCUUCCCUGUGAACUGAGAGUGGGGUCAGUACCGGAAAGGCUAGUGGGACCACUUAAGUUGACCGGAUUCUAUAAACCAUAGUCCUUCUUCCCCCAGGAACUCUUAAAUGUUUAUACUUUAAAAAUUUAGGAUGGGAAAACACCAAGAUGGACUCUUUCCUGGAAAAAACAGAUGCCUGCAGUUCCUGGCAUGGCAGGAAGUUUUUCUGACAGCAUUUUGCAGUAUUCAUGUUGGCUGUGCUCUGUACCUGCCCUGCUCCCACUCUUCCUGGUUUAUGCUUAUUAGGAGAGAAGGCUUGUGAUGAUUAAUAGCUGUGAAAAUUUUUUUUCCUAGUUUUUAUCCUGAAUUUGAUUACCUUUUGUUCCAGAGUCUGGUCAUACUGAUGUACUCAUCUAAGCCAACCAGGUUCAUCCUACCAUCCUAAUGGAAGAUGCAUUGUGUGAAUUGGAGGAACUGUUAUAAUGUAGUCAAGUGGUGACAGCCAUACUUGCUAGAGGAGCCAUAUUUUUGUGUGUCUCUCUCUGAGCAACUUCUCAAAAAUAGGGGGCUGGGGUUCCCCACCUGGGAAACUAAAUAAAGGUCUACAGAUUGCAAAGUGAAAUGUAGAAUCAGAGAAAAGGAAAUUAAAUGGUAUAAAUAGAUCUUUUCAUAAAAGUUAGAGUAGACUUUUUAUUUCAACUGUUACCGGAGAAUUUAAUAAAAAGCAUUAUUUGAAAAGUUUUCCUAACAUAGAUUUAGGUUUCAUUUUUAGAAUGGACACACUACUAUACAUUAAAAGUAGUUAUUUUGCUAUUAAAAUUAAUUUUUUAUUAUAUCUGAAAAAUUAUCUGUUUUCAAAGCUUUGUGAAACAAACUUGAAGUUAUAGGGAGAUAAGCCAUCUCCAGUUCUGCAGAUCAAACAAACGUUUGGGAAGUACUUUGGACAUCUCAUAAUACAGACUAUCUUACAUAAGACCUUAGUUUCAGAUGGUCUGGUUCUAUUCAGUAGUAGACACCACAACCUCAUGGUUUUCUUUUCUCCUGAAACAGUGGAAGGUAAAGAGUGGGCAUUAAGUUGACUUGUGAACAAUGGUCUGCUGUUACUUUAACAAAUUUUUAAGAUCUCUUAGCAUUUUCAUCUCCACUUACUAAAUCAUGUCUCACUUCAAAUUACACAGUAAUCAGCAAAGUUAGUUGGUCGUAAAAUUUAUUUUCUCCCUUUAGAAAGCACUCAUUAAGCAGUGAGAACGAGUAUGACUAUUUUAAGAUAACGUAGAAUGAGAUCUGUGAAUGAAAGGUAGUAUUGAAACUUGGAUUUAAUUCUGGUUUCGGAUUUGGGUUUUAAAUUCCUUUGAUACAGAGAAGGAACUGGGCAGCUGCUAUUGUUUCGUCUCCUGACAAGGUUGGAUAUGCUGGGAAGAAGAGUGGGGAGAAGGGUUGUAACAGCUCUCUCUGUACUCCCAGCUAAGGAAGAGUAAUGAGGCAGCCUGGUGGAAGGAGAAAGGAACUGGGAGUGUGUUCAGGUCAGUGCUUGCUUGUCUUCCCUCUCACCUCAGCUAGUUAACAGUUUAAGGUUUUAGUCUGCCCCGGGAAGAACAAAGCAUGUUAGACUUAGAGAUGCUUCUGCAAGUAGCAGGGGUUCUUAUGGGAAGACAUAUGACGGGUGUGGGGUGGGAAGAAGUGGAUAAUGGGUAUGCAGGAAAAUCUUGUUCUAAAAAUACAUGAGUUUAGGGGUAAGGGGUGAGAUAUGCAAGCAAAAUCAGUUAUUUUAAAAUGAACGUGUAUUUUUAUUAACUUUCAGUUAAAUAUAGAUUAUUACAACCAGCUCAAAAUGAUAAGCCUAAAUCUAUAUAGAGAGCUAAGUCAGACAUUGUCUUGCUUAAAACAAGAACAAACACUGUCUUGGAUGGAACAAACCUUUUCUGUUUUGUCAGUUCUUGGAUUUAUAGUUUAGAAUAAAUUAGACAAAAAGAAGACACCUGUUUCUGUAUACCUGCAGAAUUAAGUUGCUGUUAAAACCUGGCCUAGUCUGAAGAGUCCACAUGCUUGCUUCCCAACAUGCCAUAUAUGUGGACUCCUUCUAGAAGGAAAACAGGAAAGUUUACAGAACUGUAACGGACAAGAAACUUGCCCAGCCUUGUUCUAAGAGAAAUAAAAGUUUGAUCACCCUCUACUGACCAAGGACAGUGAUGGCAGCAAAAACAGGGAACCCAGUCAUAAUGUGGAGACAGCGCAAGCAGCCAAGCCGAAAGACUCACAUGGAAGAGCACGGAGGGCCCAGGCGAACAUCCCCAUUGAACUUCAGUCUGUGGGCCAACACCAACUGCCAGACAUCCCAACUCCUUGGUUGAUACCACAGGAAGCAGAACAAACCAGCCAAUCCACAGAUUUGCGAGGUCGUGUGAAAAACAGUAAUUGUGUGUUAAGGCACAAAGUUUGGGGGUAGUGUUUCAUGCAGCAAUAAAGAACUGACACCAAGCACUUAA
Artibeus jamaicensis (Jamaican fruit-eating bat) is the source of this 8168-nucleotide RNA transcript. It is a transcript of the gene named zinc finger with KRAB and SCAN domains 1, with no coding region annotated. The transcript has 9 exons. The record is from RefSeq and is a predicted model, not a curated record. Lineage: Eukaryota; Metazoa; Chordata; Mammalia; Chiroptera; Phyllostomidae.